UACGCAGGGGGCUAGCGUUGCUCGGAAUCACUGGGCGUAAAGGGUGCGUAGGCGGGUGUUUAAGUCAGGGGUGAAAUCCUGGAGCUCAACUCCAGAACUGCCUUUGAUACUGAAGAUCUUGAGUUCGGGAGAGGUGAGUGGAACUGCGAGUGUAGAGGUGAAAUUCGUAGAUAUUCGCAAGAACACCAGUGGCGAAGGCGGCUCACUGGCCCGAUACUGACGCUGAGGCACGAAAGCGUGGGAAGCAAACAGG
This 253-nucleotide ribosomal RNA is filed under the name uncultured bacterium. RNAcentral describes it as "partial 16S ribosomal RNA". It matches the Rfam family "Bacterial small subunit ribosomal RNA", at positions 524 to 776 of the family's 1533-position model. The record is from RNAcentral.